UCUGCGGUUAGUGUAAAAAUAGCGGUGGCGGUGAGAUUAGUAACUGUAGUGAUACUGUAGAGUGAGAUAAAAAGUAAACUAAACGCACCGCACCGCACUCAAUCGCCCAUCCAAACCCAGCCUUAGAAUCAAAAGCAUUCAACAGUGGCCUGAAAUCACCACUAUCUAUUUUCUCCUCCUGACUCUUAUUUUCCUUCACUAUUGUUUUCCCUGAUCGGUGAGCAGCCCAACAAUACCUUGAACCUGAUUUUCAUUUUACAGUACUAGAGAUGCUCCCCCAACCGUUCCUCGUAGAUCUUUCUCCACUGCCUCUUCUGUAAAAUUCGGGACCCCGUCAAGAAGAUAAGUAUUCAUUUCCCCCCUUAAUCCUUCAACGGCCAAAAGAUGAGCCACUUGGUUCCCCUACCUCUGAAUAUACGAGAAUCCACAGUUUUUAAAUCUCUUUCUCAAAGAGUAUGUAAGCACUGAUGCAUGAAUCAUCGUUCUUGUUUGCUUGUUGUUUCUUUAUCACCAUAAGUGAAUCGCCUUCGAUCACCACAUCUUGAAACCCCGAAUCAAUGCCCAAUUGGAUUACUUGGAGACAUGCAAUAGCUUCCGCAGCAAACCUUGGUUGAAUGUGAUUAUUAAUAAUUGUUGUUGACCCCAGAACAACCCCUUUUGAUUUCAGGGAAUGAGCUUGAAAAGCCCCAUCAAAACUUACCUUUAUGAAAGCGUUCUCUGAAGGCCUCCAUCUUACAAUCUCAACUCUCGUAACAUUCCAUAACACCCAAAAGGUACACCCCACCAUCCUGCAAAUCUGGCUAGAUGAGUGAUAUAAUCACGAAACGAGUGCUCAAGAGUUUUCGGGCCAUUCAGACACCUUGGGCAGACCAGAGACCCCACUAAUCUUCUAUUGUAGAGGUUGUAGAAAUUAGCAAUAUAAUUUCGAAAAAUCCUUCAGACUGUAAUUUUUAUA
Long non-coding RNA from Gossypium raimondii (Peruvian cotton), 955 nucleotides. RefSeq lists it as uncharacterized. The transcript is spliced from 3 exons. The record is from RefSeq and is a predicted model, not a curated record. Lineage: Eukaryota; Viridiplantae; Streptophyta; Magnoliopsida; Malvales; Malvaceae.